GCAAAAUCAUCAAAAAAGCUCACAUGUUCCGCCGUUCCGCAUUCACGAUUUUUUGUUCCGCCAAGUCUGAAUUCCGACACUAAAAAAAAAUUGCCAUUUUAUCAUUAUUUAUUAAUAGUGCGAAUUGAAAAUACUGAGUGCAAAAUAAAAUAUAUAUAGGUCUGUGUUUAUUGUUUACAUUUCAUCUACUUCCGGACCCGGUGUGUCCUAAAUUUACGAAGAAAUGGUUGAAGACUAGAUGAGAUCUACAUCUAGUUCUAGACAUAGAUCUCUAGAUCUACUGAUCUAGUAGUCUAGGUCUAGAUAUUAGAAUUAGAUCUAUUCUUAGAAUCUACCUCCAAGAAUGAAAUCAGCUCAGCCUUGAGUUGGACGACAUGCUUUAACACUUUUCUCCUGGAGAGCCAACAAACGUUGGUGUGAUACAGGAGACAUUAGUAGUCUGAAUCCAUUGCUUCACAAAGCUCUGAGGAAAGUCAGAAUGCAAGCGGUCGAGAUUUGAGGAAGUUUACAACUUCAAUCACUUGAUCCAGAACAGACAUCAAAUAUUUGAAGGCAAGAGCUUCUCUGUGGAUCAUGCAGUGAACAACUAAUACAUUUGGAUUUUCUUGACGCACAAGAGUGAAGAAUCCCUUUCUAUUUCCCUGCAUGGAAGGACAGCCAUCGGUGCAAACGCUGACACAGUUUGUCUCCACUGUACUUUGAAUAGCAAAAUGUUUUCGUUCACCACUUAAAAAUAUCUUCGCCUUUGGUCGUAGUUGGUGGCGAUUUUAUUGUUUACCAUGAAGUUGUCUAAUUUUCAAAUUUUACUGACCAAGUUUUGUACAGUGACUGAUCCAUCUGCAGUUUCCGAACCAGUAACUGAUAUCUCAAAAAAAUAUUGCUUUACUGAUGGUGUCUGGUCACCUCAGAUGAUCAACAUGAUUUGUUCAUUGAAAGACACUUGAAGGUGUAAGUUGUAAAAGGUUUUGAAAGACUUGCCAAAGCAAGGCAUUCUUGACAGGGAUAAACAUUGGGAGCAGCUCUAGCUGACUCAGCUCAGAGGAUGACAUCACAGUUAAUUGACAUCUUUCUGUUAACAAUGCAUGGAUUAUCUUAUCUUCUUCAUUCUAGGGGAAUUAUGCAUUAAGUGAAGACAUCUUGCUGUAGAAGAGAAGAAAAAUUCAGAUAUUCCACAUGAUUUACAAUAUGGCUUUGAUUGUCUUAUGUUAAUGGCUGGUAAAGAACUGAAACAUGUAGGCUGGAGAAUCACUUGAUAGAAAUCAAGAUGUUUAGUCACUUUGGGAGCAGUGAUCUUGAGAUUUCGAUGCUAGAUACUCUCAGAUUUGAAAGCCGGUAUCUUGGAUAUUUUCUUAGCUCCUCUAGAUCAAGAUGGCAAAGAACUUUAUAAGGAUAGGUCUCCCAUCCAUCACACAACAUUCAAGCACCAAUGGGUUUCUUUCAAGGAGUUGAAGAUAAGGUAGUUCCCCUUAACAAAGCUGAGAUGAGGAAGUUAAAGCAAAAGGACUGCAAUGUUUGUUUCUAGGACCAGACACAAGAGAAUUCGACAACAUAUGUAUCAGAAGAUCAAAAUCAGAAACUGAAAUCUGCCCAUUUGGAGUGUCACCAGAGAAUGCUGACCAUCUCCUCCAAAACUGCUCUCUUUACCAAGAGGCUGUACAUGACACUGGCCCCAAAACACCCCAAUAGAAAGAAAACUAUAUGGAGAGUUCCCUGAUUUGGAAACCACUGCGAAAAUAAUCUCAUAUACUGGUCCAGUCAUCUGAAUGCUCCAAUAAAAAAAUGAGAAGGAAGAAGAAAGAAGAUUGUAUGUACCAUUUUUGUUUGUUUGAGGAUGGGGAGAAAAGUGUUCUUAGAAUUCAAACACCAAAAGUAUGUGUCUUUAUGAAUUCAAUGUAAUUGAUACUAGGCUUUUUGGGCUGAAAAUAAAAUGCAGGAAAUUUUAUUGGAAGUGCAGAAAAAAAAAAGAGUUUUUAGCCAAAAUAAACAAUGUAUAGCCUGAGAACAAAUCAGGUGGAAGAACCAAGGGUAAUGCUAGUAUACUAUAGAAGUAGUACCUUUUUUUUAUGCUUGCAACUUCAUUGAUGCAUAAGUGUCACAAACUGCUUGUUAAUGUGAUAUGAAACAUAAUUUAUUUUUUUUUGGUACACAUAUAAUCACUCUAAAAAAAUUAUUUCUAAGAUAGAUAACUGUCUCUAGUAACCUGCUAGUGGACCAUGAUGAACCUUUUUCUAUCUUGCUUUGUAUGAUAUAAACUUUCCUAGUUUUGACUUUAAAUUGUCAUUCUAGUCGUGUCAGUUAUGCUUAUAGGCUGUUAGACAAAAAUAGUGAAAACAAGAGUACAUAACAUUUUCUAAAGAAAUUUUAAUUUUGCAU
Long non-coding RNA from Biomphalaria glabrata, 2373 nucleotides. RefSeq lists it as uncharacterized. NCBI's taxonomy places the organism in Eukaryota, Metazoa, Mollusca, Gastropoda, Planorbidae. The record is from RefSeq and is a predicted model, not a curated record. The transcript is spliced from 7 exons.